This 72-nucleotide transfer RNA is filed under the name Camelus bactrianus (Bactrian camel). It matches the Rfam family "tRNA". Rfam says of the family: Transfer RNA (tRNA) molecules are approximately 80 nucleotides in length. Their secondary structure includes four short double-helical elements and three loops (D, anti-codon, and T loops). The record is from Rfam by way of RNAcentral. RNAcentral also lists the same sequence under 1 other name. Lineage: Eukaryota; Metazoa; Chordata; Mammalia; Artiodactyla; Camelidae.
GAGGGUAUAGCCCAGUGGUAGAGCAUGUGCUUAGCAUGCACGAGGUCCUGGGUUCAAUCCUCAGUACCUCCA